Molecule: ribosomal RNA, 642 nt
Filed under: uncultured soil bacterium
Lineage: Bacteria
Description: partial 16S ribosomal RNA
Source: RNAcentral
CGUCGCUCCCCUACUUUCGCGCCUCAGCGUCAGUGUCGGCCCAGCAACCCGCCUUCGCCGCAGGUGUUCCUCUCGAUAUCUACGCAUUUCACCGCUACACCGAGAAUUCCAGUUGCCCCUUCCGCACUCUAGCCCUGCAGUAUCAGUUGACCUUUCCGAGUUAAGCCCGGAGAUUUCACAACUGACUUGCAGUGGCCGCCUACGCGCCCUUUACGCCCAGUAAAUCCGAACAACGCUUGCUCCCCCCGUAUUACCGCGGCUGCUGGCACGGAGUUAGCCGGAGCUUACAAACAGUACCGUCAUCGUCUGCGAUAUUAACGCAGGCUUAUUCUUCCCGUUCUUGCGAAGUUUACAUCCCGAAGGAUUUCAUCCUUCACGCGGCGUUGCUGGGUCAGGCUUUCGCCCAUUGCCCAAAAUUCCCGACUGCUGCCUCCCGUAGGAGUCUGACCCGUAUGUCAGUGUCAGUGUGGCCGACCGCCCUCUCAGGCCGGCUACGGAUCGUCGCCUUGGUAGGCUGUUACCCUACCAACUAGCUAAUCCGCCGCAGGCUCCUCUUCAGACGCGAGGUCUUGCGAUCCCCCGCUUUAACAACUGUCACCAUUAGGUGCCGCUGCAUUAUGCGGUAUUAGCACCGAUUUCUCG